Molecule: ribosomal RNA, 466 nt
Filed under: uncultured bacterium
Lineage: Bacteria
Description: partial 16S ribosomal RNA
Rfam family: Bacterial small subunit ribosomal RNA
Source: RNAcentral
GAUGAACGCUGGCGGCGUGCUUAACACAUGCAAGUCGAACGGAAAGGCUCCUGCUUGCAGGGGUACUCGAGUGGCGAACGGGUGAGUAACACGUGGGUGAUCUGCCCUUCACUUCGGGAUAAGCCUAGGAAACUGGGUCUAAUACCGGAUAGGACGUUGGUUUGGAUGCCAUUGUGUAAAGUUUUUUCGGUGUGGGAUGAGCUCGCGGCUUAUCAGCUUGUUGGUGGGGUAAUGGCGUACCAAGGCGUCGACGGGUAGCCGGCCUGAGAGGGUGUACGGCCACAUUGGGACUGAGAUACGGCCCAGACUCCUACGGGAGGCAGCAGUGGGGAAUAUUGCACAAUGGGCGGAAGCCUGAUGCAGCAACGCCGCGUGCGGGAUGACGGCCUUCGGGUUGUAAACCGCUUUCGCUAGGGACGAAGCGUAAGUGACGGUAACGGGUGAAGAAGCACCGGCUAACUACGUG